GACGAACGCUGGCGGCGUGCUUAACACAUGCAAGUCGAGCGGUAAGGCCCUUUCGGGGGUACGACGAGCGGCGAACGGGUGAGUAACACGUGGGUGACCUGCCUUUAGCUCUGGGAUAAGCCUGGGAAACUGGGUCUAAUACCGGAUAUGACCCUAUGGCGCAUGUUGUGGGGUGGAAAGCCUUGUGCGGCUAGGGAUGGGCCCGCGGCCUAUCAGCUUGUUGGUGGGGUGAUGGCCUACCAAGGCGACGACGGGUAGCCGGCCUGAGAGGGCGACCGGCCACACUGGGACUGAGACACGGCCCAGACUCCUACGGGAGGCAGCAGUGGGGAAUCUUGCGCAAUGGGCGAAAGCCUGACGCAGCGACGCCGCGUGAGGGAUGACGGCCUCGG
This 392-nucleotide ribosomal RNA is filed under the name uncultured bacterium. RNAcentral's name for it is "bacterial SSU rRNA". It matches the Rfam family "Bacterial small subunit ribosomal RNA", at positions 28 to 420 of the family's 1533-position model. The record is from RNAcentral.